CCUACGGGAGGCAGCAGUGAGGAAUAUUGGUCAAUGGCCGAGAGGCUGAACCAGCCAAGUCGCGUGAGGGAAGACGGCCCUACGGGUUGUAAACUUCUUUUGUCGGGGAGUAAAGCGAGUCACGUGUGACUCAUUGUAUGUACCUUAUGAAAAAGCAUCGGCUAACUCCGUGCCAGCAGCCGCGGUAAUACGGAGGAUGCGAGCGUUAUCCGGAUUUAUUGGGUUUAAAGGGUGCGCAGGGGGAGGUGCAAGUCAGCGGUCAAAUUUCGGGGCUCAACCCCAUACUGCCGUUGAAACUGGAUGCCUUGAGUGCACGAGAGGUAUGCGGAAUGCGUGGUGUAGCGGUGAAAUGCAUAGAUAUCACGCAGAACUCCGAUUGCGAAGGCAGCAUACCGACGCGCAACUGACGCUCAUGCACGAAAGCGUGGGUAUCGAACAGGAUUAGAUACCCUAGUAGUC
This 459-nucleotide ribosomal RNA is filed under the name uncultured bacterium. Its description in RNAcentral is "partial 16S ribosomal RNA". It matches the Rfam family "Bacterial small subunit ribosomal RNA", at positions 338 to 795 of the family's 1533-position model. The record is from RNAcentral.